RNAcentral lists this ribosomal RNA (247 nucleotides) under uncultured bacterium. RNAcentral describes it as "partial 16S ribosomal RNA". It matches the Rfam family "Bacterial small subunit ribosomal RNA", at positions 523 to 769 of the family's 1533-position model. The record is from RNAcentral.
AUACGUAGGGGGCAAGGCGUUGUCCGGAAUUAUUGGGCGUAAAGCGCGCGCAGGCGGCGACUUAAGUCUGGUGUUUAAGCCCGGGGCUCAACCCCGGUACGCACUGGAAACUGGGUGGCUGGAGUGCAGGAGAGGGGAGUGGAAUUCCACGUGUAGCGGUGAAAUGCGUAGAGAUGUGGAGGAACACCAGUGGCGAAGGCGACUCUCUGGCCUGUAACUGACGCUGAGGCGCGAAAGCGUGGGGAGC